This is a non-coding RNA of Acanthosepion pharaonis, 115 nucleotides long. The record is from the annotation of a GenBank genome assembly. Lineage: Eukaryota; Metazoa; Mollusca; Cephalopoda; Sepiida; Sepiidae.
CUUGCGGUCAUAUCACGUUCGAACACCAGUUCUCAUAUGAUCACCGAAGUUAAGUAACGUUGAGCUUGGUCGAUACCUAGAUGGGUGACCAGUUUGGAACACCAGGUGCUGUAAG